ACUACAACAUUUGUUGUCUUUAGCAACACUUUUUUAUGCAACUCGUAUAAACUGUUACCUAAAAGUGGCUUAGCUAACAUGUUAUGACUGUUGCCAGUUCUCUUUAGGCAGCGAUAGAUAAUUGUUCCCUGAAAUCGAAAAGGGAACACUUUCAGACUGUUACUCUAAUAUUUCUUUUGCAAUGGUUAAUAACUGUGCCUAUAGAUAUUUGUGGGGACAGUUUUAAUUUGUUACAUUAUUUUUGACAUAAAGCAACAUUUAUCAACAAUUGCUUUUAAUAUUCAGCAUUUAACAAUUAUAUUACUUUAUUUUUUUUUCCUGUAAAAAAGACUAAUCUCAUCCCAUCCAUACACAAACAAGUUUGAGAGUUAAACCCCACCGUGUGGCUUCCUUCUCCUCCGUCUCCAAGUUUCAGAAAAGAUAUCUCUUCAAAUACCACACAAUCGAAAAUCCACCUAAAUCCUCCCCAAUCUGUAGCUUUAUAAAUUCUCUCUCACCGCUCAAUCCCUAGAUUUUUAGGGUUUCCAAUCUAUUCUCUCACACCAUUCAAUCCCUAUAUUUAUAGGGUUUCUGAUACAUUCCUCUUUAUCGUAUUUCUCGUAUUUUUUAUUUGACCAAAAUUAAUGGCUUCAAUUUGGAUACCCUAUCUCAGUGGCGUCAUAGUUUCAGAGAUUAGCUAGCGGAGUUGGUGGCUACGAUAAGGGUUUUGAUCGGUAUGCUUUAGCUUAAGCUUGAACACUGAGAAGGAAUUAGUAGAAUGCAGAUAUGGAUUUGUCGAAGGAGUUUGGGUUUGUUUAUUCUUAUUUUCUUUGUUUUUUUUUCUGGGUUUGUUUGUUAUUGUUGCUGUGGAUGAAUUUUUUGUGAUGUUUAGUUAUGAGAUUGUGGUUGAACAUCCCGCUAUUAUGCAGGAGGAAGCACUGUAAUGUCUUAACUCACUAUUAUGCAGGUAUUUUGCACAGUGUUGAACAACAUCAACUUGUUAUAUCAUGAAUAAUGCAGUACAACUAAGUGAGAAGAAGGAAUUAACUGAAACAUGCCUUAAAACAAACUACUUUGGUGUAGGUGAACAUUAGAGAACUUGGCAUUUACUUUUAGCAAGAAAGGGGCAUAGUUGCCAAAAUCAAGUUAACAUUCAUUAAUUCUCAACUCCAAGUAGGUAAAGGUACACAUGUUUAAGUGGCAAAUAAUUAUAAUUAUGUGCUUAUAUUUAAAUUCAUUUUCUUAGAAUAUGCAGACAAAUUCGAUCCUUACUAAGCAAUUGAAAAUUGUGGUGCAGGAAGCAAUUUACUCUUAACACAGUGAUUUUGACUAGAAACUUAACUUGUCUGAUUGUGAGUUAUUUGCAAUUCAAUUUUCUACUACUAAUUUCAUAUUGUCUACACUUUUUAAGUUAUUUCUAACCUGUGUAUCUGACCUUAAAUUAUGUAAGCCUAUCUAAUUGUUUGAUUUUAGCUCUUCUUUUAUUUAAUUUAAUUAUUCAAUUAACUAUGUAGACACCACUGUGUUUGGUUUUACAGCCCUCUACCAUCUAGAGGAAGUCCAGGUAUUGUUGUUUAUAUUUAAGAGUUGUUGUAGUCUUGUUGUUGAGCUGCAUGGUUAUUUAUACUGAGACAAAACUUCUGAAGUGUAUUGGAUAUCUUGUUAAGUUGUGAGAAAUAAAGAAGCAAACGAGUUUGUAAAAGGAACCAUCACUUAUUCUCAUAUUCCUAAGAGAUAGUUCAGAUAUGAAAUUGAAUUUUCAAUGAAAUGGCUAGAUGUAAUUUGGUACAUUUACAUUAUAGAGGAUAGUGAUACUCUAAUUUUGUAAUGGCAAUAUGCAUUCUAGUGUAUAUAGGGUCUGUUGUUAGCAUAACUAGUGAGAUUCUAGUUCAAUUUUUGUUCAACUAUUUGAUUAAUUUGGUGUAGCAGGUUCUGCAUUGGAGCAAUACGAUCAAAAGGGAUUACGAUCAAAGAAAUGUUGGAAUUGAUCAAGAACAUUGAAAAGUAGCAAAAGGCAUGUUAUAGGUGGUUCUUCAUAUGAUUAUGCAACCAAGAUAGUGGGGGCAAUGAAAAGAAAUUUACAAUUUACACCAAAAGUGUCCAAUUUUAGUUGUAUUGGUUUUGAGAUAUUGUCUUAAUUUGUAUAUAAGUAGUCAUGGGAGAAGUAACAAUGACUUUAUGUGUUUUAUAGUAAUAGUUCAUGUUGCUACUUUUUAGUACCCAUAGAAAGGAGGUACUCUGUUAUGCAAUUUUGUAAUACUACAUAUAUUUGAAUGAAGGAGUUCAUAUAUUUGCCUCA
Trifolium pratense (red clover) is the source of this 2278-nucleotide long non-coding RNA. RefSeq lists it as uncharacterized. The record is from RefSeq and is a predicted model, not a curated record. The transcript is spliced from 2 exons. Lineage: Eukaryota; Viridiplantae; Streptophyta; Magnoliopsida; Fabales; Fabaceae.